GAUCCUGGCUCAGGACGAACGCUGGCGGCGUGCCUAAUACAUGCAAGUCGAACGAGAGCGACCGGUGCUUGCACUGAUCAAUCUAGUGGCGAACGGGUGAGUAACACGUGGGUAACCUGCCCAUCAGAGGGGGAUAACAUUCGGAAACGGAUGCUAAAACCGCAUAGGUCUUCAAACCGCAUGGUUUGAAGAGGAAAAGAGGCGCAAGCUUCUGCUGAUGGAUGGACCCGCGGUG
This 235-nucleotide ribosomal RNA is filed under the name uncultured bacterium. RNAcentral's name for it is "partial 16S ribosomal RNA". It matches the Rfam family "Bacterial small subunit ribosomal RNA", at positions 15 to 238 of the family's 1533-position model. The record is from RNAcentral.